Non-coding RNA from Erinaceus europaeus (western European hedgehog), 178 nucleotides. The record is from Rfam. NCBI's taxonomy places the organism in Eukaryota, Metazoa, Chordata, Mammalia, Eulipotyphla, Erinaceidae.
AUCGCUUCUUAGCCUUCUGGCUACGACCAAGUAUAGUAUCUGCUCUUAUCAGUUUAAUCUGAUAUGUCCUCUAUCUGAGAACAAUAUAUUAAAUGGAUUUUUGGAGUAAGGAGUCGGAAUAGGGGCUUUCUCCACGCAAAUAAAACAAAAUAAAAUAAAAUAAAAAUUCACAUACCUA